Molecule: ribosomal RNA, 253 nt
Filed under: uncultured bacterium
Lineage: Bacteria
Description: partial 16S ribosomal RNA
Rfam family: Bacterial small subunit ribosomal RNA
Source: RNAcentral
UACGUAGGGGGCAAGCGUUGUCCGGAAUCAUUGGGCGUAAAGCGCGCGUAGGCGGCCCGGUAAGUCCGUUGUGAAAGUCAAAGGCUCAACCUUUGAACGCCGAUGGAUACUGCCGGGCUAGAGUCCGGAAGAGGCGAGUGGAAUUCCCGGUGUAGUGGUGAAAUGCGCAGAUAUCGGGAAGAACACCCGUGGCGAAGGCGGUUCUCUGGGACGGUACUGACGCUGAGACGCGAAAGCGUGGGGAGCGAACAGG